RNAcentral lists this long non-coding RNA (478 nucleotides) under Heterocephalus glaber (naked mole-rat). RNAcentral describes it as "lncRNA (ENSHGLG00000036912.1)". The record is from RNAcentral. Lineage: Eukaryota; Metazoa; Chordata; Mammalia; Rodentia; Bathyergidae.
CGCGGGCGGAGGCUUCCGGGGCUGGGGGCGGUGCCACGUGCAGUGCCGGCGGCGCACGGCAGAGGGCGUAGAGGAGCUACCGCCGCCCUCCCGGAUCCCACGGCGCGGUCCGCGACGCCCGCCCUGCCGCCGCCUGGCCGAAGCCUCUCCAAGGCCAAGGCCACCCUCGGCCCCGCCCCGCCGCAACCGCCGCCCCGGAGUGUCGGUCGAAGAUCACCCUAGGCCCACGCCCUCUGCCCGCCCCGGACGCGCCACCCCUUCCUGGGCCUCCCUCCCUCCUUCCGCUCCAGAUGAAGAAAAUGAGGCCCAGGAUGGACCUUGUUCUAUCUGGAAAAAGACAGAAAAGGGACCUUAGGACUGGAAAGGCAACUAUAGGAGCAGCACCCCCCUGGUGGCGUUGGGGACCCAAGGUGAAGUCACUGAGGCACAGAGAGAUCAAAGAGUUUGCCCAAGACUCCCCUCAAAUGAAUGAUGAAAG